AUUGAACGCUGGCGGCAGGCCUAACACAUGCAAGUCGAACGAGUGGCGGACGGGUGAGUAAUAUCUGGGAAACUGCCUGAUGGAGGGGGAUAACUACUGGAAACGGUAGCUAAUACCGCAUACCAUCAGAUGUGCCCAGAUGGGAUUAGCUUGUUGGUGGGGUAACGGCUCCCCAAGGCGACGAUCCCUAGCUGGUCUGAGAGGAUGACCAGCCACACUGGAACUGAGACACGGUCCAGACUCCUACGGGAGGCAGCAGUGUGGAAUAUUGGACAAUGGGCGAAAGCCUGAUCCAGCCAUGCCGCGUGUAUGAUGAAGGCCUUCGGGUUGUAAAGUACUUUCGGCGGGGAAGCGUUACCCGCAGAAGAAGCACCGGCUAACUCCGUGCCAGCAGCCGCGGUAAUAC
This 406-nucleotide ribosomal RNA is filed under the name uncultured bacterium. RNAcentral's name for it is "partial 16S ribosomal RNA". It matches the Rfam family "Bacterial small subunit ribosomal RNA", at positions 30 to 526 of the family's 1533-position model. The record is from RNAcentral.